AAACUGGACUCGUAAGUCCUGGAACAGGCUGCUCGGAUGUAAGUCCGUGCUACUCCGUCUGGCCUUGGCCCGCCUUUUGGCGUGAACGGUGAGAAUCGGCCCCCAGGGUGAGCCAGUUU
This 119-nucleotide non-coding RNA is filed under the name unclassified sequences. RNAcentral describes it as "DUF3800-III RNA". It matches the Rfam family "DUF3800-III RNA". The record is from Rfam by way of RNAcentral.